UACGGAAGGCGCAGUGGGGAAUAUUGCACAAUGGGCGCAAGCCUGAUGCAGCCAUGCCGCGUGUAUGAAGAAGGCCUUCGGGUUGUAAAGUACUUUCAGUCGUGAGGAAGGUGUUAAGGUUAAUAACCUUAGCAAUUGACGUUAGCGACAGAAGAAGCACCGGCUAACUCCGUGCCAGCAGCCGCGGUAAUACGGAGGGUGCGAGCGUUAAUCGGAAUUACUGGGCGUAAAGGGCACGCAGGCGGUUAAUUAAGUUGGAUGUGAAAUCCCCGGGCUUAACCUGGGAAUGGCAUUCAAGACUGGUUAGCUAGAGUCUUGUAGAGGGGGUUAGAAUUCCAUGUGUAGCGGUGAAAUGCGUAGAGAUGUGGAGGAAUACCGGUGGCGAAGGCGGCCCCUGGACAAAGACUGACGCUCAUGUGCGAAAGCGUGGGGAGCAAACAGGGAUUAGAUACC
Molecule: ribosomal RNA, 453 nt
Filed under: uncultured bacterium
Lineage: Bacteria
Description: bacterial SSU rRNA
Rfam family: Bacterial small subunit ribosomal RNA
Source: RNAcentral